GCCGGUUUAGCUCAGUUGGUAGAGCAACUGAUUUGUAAUCAGUAGGUCGGGAGUUCGAGUCCCCCAACCGGCACCA
This 76-nucleotide transfer RNA is filed under the name Alphaproteobacteria bacterium. RNAcentral describes it as "tRNA-Thr". It matches the Rfam family "tRNA". From Rfam's summary of the family: Transfer RNA (tRNA) molecules are approximately 80 nucleotides in length. The record is from RNAcentral. Lineage: Bacteria; Pseudomonadati; Pseudomonadota; Alphaproteobacteria. RNAcentral also lists the same sequence under 2 other names.